Molecule: ribosomal RNA, 253 nt
Filed under: uncultured bacterium
Lineage: Bacteria
Description: partial 16S ribosomal RNA
Rfam family: Bacterial small subunit ribosomal RNA
Source: RNAcentral
UACGAAGGGGGCGAGCGUUGUUCGGAAUUACUGGGCGUAAAGCGCGCGCAGGCGGCUACUCAAGCAUGGCGUGAAAGCCCCCGGCUCAACCGGGGAGGGUCGUCGUGGACUGGGUGGCUUGAGGGCGGGAGGGGCUGGUGGAAUUCCCGGUGUAGUGGUGAAAUGCGUAGAGAUCGGGAGGAACACCCGUGGCGAAGGCGGCCAGCUGGACCGACCCUGACGCUGAGGCGCGAAGGCGUGGGGAGCGAACGGG